GACGAACGCUGGCGGCGUGCCUAAUACAUGCAAGUCGAACGCAGUGGGGACGGGUGAGUAACACGUGGGUAACCUCCCAUCAGAGGGGAUAACACUUGGAAACAGGUGCUAAACCGAUACUGAUGGAUGGACCCGCGGUGCAUUAGCUAGUAGGUGGGGUAACGGCUCACCUAGGCGCCGAUCUAUAGCUGGUCUGAGAGGAUGAUCAUCCACACUGGGACUGAGACAGGGCCCAGAAUCCUACGGGAGGCAGCAGUGGGGAAUAUUGGACAAUGGGCGGAAGCCUGAUGCAGCCAUGCCGCGUGGAUGAAGAAGGCCUUAGGGGUGUAAAGUACUUUCAGCGGGGAGGCGUUACCCGCAGAAGAAGCACCGGCUAACUCCGGGCCAGCAGCCGCGGUAAUAC
RNAcentral lists this ribosomal RNA (403 nucleotides) under uncultured bacterium. RNAcentral's name for it is "partial 16S ribosomal RNA". It matches the Rfam family "Bacterial small subunit ribosomal RNA", at positions 28 to 526 of the family's 1533-position model. The record is from RNAcentral.